CAGCCGCCACGGUAAUACGAAGGGGGCUAGCGUUGCUCGGAAUGACUGGGCGUAAAGGGCGCGUAGGCGGCGGCCAAAGUCAGGCGUGAAAUUCCCGGGCUCAACCUGGGGGCUGCGUUUGAUACUUGGUUGCUUGAGUGGGGAAGAGGGUCGUGGAAUUCCCAGUGUAGAGGUGAAAUUCGUAGAUAUUGGGAAGAACACCGGUGGCGAAGGCGGCAACCUGGUCCUUGACUGACGCUGAGGCGCGAAAGCGUGGGGAGCAAACAGGAUUAGAGACCCGUGUAGUCCCUGUCUCUUAUAC
RNAcentral lists this ribosomal RNA (301 nucleotides) under uncultured bacterium. Its description in RNAcentral is "partial 16S ribosomal RNA". It matches the Rfam family "Bacterial small subunit ribosomal RNA", at positions 509 to 807 of the family's 1533-position model. The record is from RNAcentral.